Molecule: ribosomal RNA, 253 nt
Filed under: uncultured bacterium
Lineage: Bacteria
Description: partial 16S ribosomal RNA
Rfam family: Bacterial small subunit ribosomal RNA
Source: RNAcentral
UACGUAGGGGGCAAGCGUUAUCCGGAAUUACUGGGUGUAAAGGGUGAGUAGGCGGCAUGGUAAGCCAGAUGUGAAAUACUCGGGCUCAACUUGAGUGCUGCAUUUCAAACUGGAAGUCUAGAGUGCAGGAGAGGAGAAUGGAAUUCCUAGUGUAGCGGUGAAAUGCGUAGAGAUUAGGAAGAACACCAGUGGCGAAGGCGAUUCUCUGGACUGUAACUGACGCUGAGGCUCGAAAGCGUGGGGAGCAAACAGG